AUAAACGCUGGCGGCGUGCCUAAAACAUGCAAGUCGAACGGGCUCAUGCUUUCGGGUGUGAGUUAGUGGCGGACGGCUGAGUAACACGUGGGUGACCUGCCCUCGAGCGGGGGAUAACUGCCCGAAAGGGUAGCUAAUACCGCAGAUGUCGGUCUUUCGGUAGGCUGACUGAACCGUAUAGGGUUCGAGGAGGGGCCCGCGGCCGAUUAGCUCGCUGGUGGGGUAACGGCCUACCAGGGCAUCGAUCGGUAGCUGGUCUGAGAGGAUGAUCAGCCAGACUGGGACUGCGAACGGUCCAGACUCCUACGGGAGGCAGCAGUUAGGAAUUUUGGGCAAUGGGCGAAAGCCUGACCCAGCAACGCCGCGUGGGUGAUGAAGGCCCUCGGGUCGUAAAGCCCUUUUCCAGGGGAAGAUAGUGACGGUACCCUGGGAAUCAGCCCCGGCUAACUACGU
This 453-nucleotide ribosomal RNA is filed under the name uncultured bacterium. Its description in RNAcentral is "bacterial SSU rRNA". It matches the Rfam family "Bacterial small subunit ribosomal RNA", at positions 29 to 506 of the family's 1533-position model. The record is from RNAcentral.